UCAGUAGCUGUCUGAGAUGACGACAGCACACUGCACUGAGACACGUCUAGACUCUACGGUAGUCAGCAGUGCGUACUUUGACAUGGGCGAAAGCCUGAUCCAGCAAUGCCGCGUGAGUGAAGAAGGCCUUUCGGGUUGUAAAGCUAUUGGUCAGGGAAGAAACGGUGUGGGCUAAUAUCCUGCACUAAUGACGAGUACCUGAAGAAUAAGCACCGGCUAACUACGUGCCAGCAGCCGCGGUAAUACGUAGGGUGCAAGCGUUAAUCGGAAUUACUGGGCGUAAAGCGUGCGCAGGCGGUUUUGUAAGUUUGUCGUGAAAUCCCCGGGCUCAACCUGGGAAUUGCGAUGAAGACUGCAAGGCUAGAAUCUGGCAGAGGGGGGUAGAAUUCCACGUGUAGCAGUGAAAUGCGUAGAGAUGUGGAAGAACACCGAUGGCGAAGGCAGCCCCCUGGGUCAAGAUUGACGCUCAUGCACGAAAGCGUGGGGAGCAAACAGAAUUAGAUACCCUGGUAGUCCACGCCCUAAACGAUGUCUACAAAUUGUCGGGUUUUAAUUAACUUGGUAACGCAGCUAACGCGUGAAGUAGACCGCCUCGAGAGGACGGUCGCAAGAUUAAAACUCAAAGGAAUUGACGGGGACCCGCACAAGCGGUGGAUGAUGUGGAUUAAUUCGAUGCAACGCGAAAAACCUUACCUACCCUUGACAUGUACGGAAGCCACGAGAGAUCGAGGCGUGCUCGAAAGAGAGCCGUAACACAGGUGCUGCAUGGCUGUCGUCAGCUCGUGUCGUGAGAUGUUGGGUUAAGUCCCGCAACGAGCGCAACCCUUGUCAUUAGUUGCUACGAAAGAGCACUCUAAUGAGACUGCCGGUGACAAACCGGAGGAAGGUGGGGAUGACGUCAAGUCCUCAU
This 910-nucleotide ribosomal RNA is filed under the name uncultured bacterium. Its description in RNAcentral is "bacterial SSU rRNA". It matches the Rfam family "Bacterial small subunit ribosomal RNA", at positions 280 to 1196 of the family's 1533-position model. The record is from RNAcentral.